GUAGUCACUUCUCCAGCACAUAUACUAAAUUGAAACAAUAUAGAGAAGGUUGGCAUGGCCCCUGCACAAGGAUGAUGUGCAAAUUUGUGGAGCAUUACAUAUUUUU
Molecule: small nuclear RNA, 106 nt
Organism: Jaculus jaculus (lesser Egyptian jerboa)
Lineage: Eukaryota; Metazoa; Chordata; Mammalia; Rodentia; Dipodidae
Source: Ensembl